This 236-nucleotide ribosomal RNA is filed under the name uncultured Staphylococcus sp. RNAcentral describes it as "partial 16S ribosomal RNA". It matches the Rfam family "Bacterial small subunit ribosomal RNA", at positions 104 to 334 of the family's 1533-position model. The record is from RNAcentral. Lineage: Bacteria; Bacillati; Bacillota; Bacilli; Caryophanales; Staphylococcaceae.
GGGUGAGUAACACGUGGAUAACCUACCUAUAAGAUUGGGAUAACUUCGGGAAACCGGAGCUAAUACCGGAUAAUAUAUUGAACCGCAUGGUUCAAUAGUGAAAGACGGUUUUGCUGUCACUUAUAGAUGGAUCCGCGCCGCAUUAGCUAGUUGGUAAGGUAACAGCUUACCAAGGCAACGAUGCGUAGCCGACCUGAGAGGGUGAUCGGCCACACUGGAACUGAGACACGGUCCAG